AGCGAACGCUGGCGGCAGGCCUAACACAUGCAAGUCGAACGAACUCUUCGGAGUUAGUGGCGGACGGGUGAGUAACACGUGGGAACGUGCCUUUAGGUUCGGAAUAACUCAGGGAAACUUGUGCUAAUACCGAAUGUGCCCUUCGGGGGAAAGAUUUAUCGCCUUUAGAGCGGCCCGCGUCUGAUUAGCUAGUUGGUGAGGUAAAGGCUCACCAAGGCGACGAUCAGUAGCUGGUCUGAGAGGAUGAUCAGCCACAUUGGGACUGAGACACGGCCCAAACUCCUACGGGAGGCAGCAGUGGGGAAUCUUGCGCAAUGGGCGAAAGCCUGACGCAGCCAUGCCGCGUGAAUGAAGAAGGUCUUAGGAUUGUAAAAUUCUUUCACCGGGGACGAUAAUGACGGUACCCGGAGAAGAAGCCCCGGCUAACUUCGU
This 432-nucleotide ribosomal RNA is filed under the name uncultured bacterium. RNAcentral's name for it is "partial 16S ribosomal RNA". It matches the Rfam family "Bacterial small subunit ribosomal RNA", at positions 29 to 506 of the family's 1533-position model. The record is from RNAcentral.